Molecule: ribosomal RNA, 253 nt
Filed under: uncultured bacterium
Lineage: Bacteria
Description: partial 16S ribosomal RNA
Rfam family: Bacterial small subunit ribosomal RNA
Source: RNAcentral
GACAGAGGGUGCAAACGUUGCUCGGAAUCACUGGGCGUAAAGGGCGUGUAGGCGGGAAGGUAAGUCGGGCGUGAAAUCUCGGAGCUUAACUCCGAAACUGCAUUCGAUACUGCCGUGCUUGAGGACUGGAGAGGAGACUGGAAUUUACGGUGUAGCGGUGAAAUGCGUAGAUAUCGUAAGGAAGACCAGUGGCGAAGGCGGGUCUCUGGGCAGUUCCUGACGCUGAGGCACGAAGGUCAGGGGAGCAAACGGG